Paramuricea clavata is the source of this 376-nucleotide non-coding RNA. The record is from the annotation of a GenBank genome assembly. NCBI's taxonomy places the organism in Eukaryota, Metazoa, Cnidaria, Anthozoa, Malacalcyonacea, Plexauridae.
GGUCAUUACAUUCAACAAUGACGUCAUCUUUGAGGGGGGAUAGGUGACAGUUGUUUACUUAGGGAGGAUGGGUGUUAUUGGUGAAGAUUAUGUCAUCGAUAAAGGAGAACAAAUUCAUUUAUUACGAGUCGGAUCGACUUACUCGAUCUUUGAGCACAUGUUCUUAUUAGAAUAAUUUUAUCCCGACUUUUGUACCUGGGUUGAAAUUAGUUUCGGAAGAGAAAAGAAUGGCAACAAUGUUUUGAAUCUGUCUAUGAAACAGGAUGGUAUGGAGAACAGUGGGAUUUUUGAAACAAUGAAAAGACAACGGAACAUACCGGCCUGUAUCAUCAUUGGAUGGCACUACUGUUGCAAAGUGUGCCAUUCGAAGUUGCAG